UAUGAACCAGGAUUAGAUACCCUGUUACUUUUAGUAAAAAAUUUUGGAGUAGUAGAUUUAAUGAAAUUUAACGGACUUGGCGGCAAGAUAACUUUUUAGAGGAACCUGCCCUAUAAACGAUGAACCACGAGGGCCUUACUUUUUUUAGUAUUCAGUUUGUAUACCGUUGUUGUUAGUUAGAUUCUUAAGAAUAUUUUCUAUUAUGAGAAAAUCAUUGACUUCAAGUAAAGGUGCAGCAUAUAAAAAAGAUAGAGGUGGGUUACAUUUUUAAGAUUAAAGCGCAUAAGAUUUUUUAAAUAUUCUUUGAAGAUGGAUUUAACUGUAAAACUUAAGAAAGUUUGAUUAUAGCUCUAUUUUGUGUACACACCGCCCGUCGCUCUCCUUAGAAAA
This 390-nucleotide ribosomal RNA is filed under the name Hexelasma sp. 6 BKKC-2017. RNAcentral describes it as "partial 12S ribosomal RNA". It matches the Rfam family "Microsporidia small subunit ribosomal RNA", at positions 649 to 1214 of the family's 1311-position model. The record is from RNAcentral. Lineage: Eukaryota; Metazoa; Arthropoda; Thecostraca; Balanomorpha; Bathylasmatidae.